CUUAUACUUUCAUCUUGAUUAUUUUUACAUACUCUGUUAAAGAACCAGAGGCAUAUAGAUUAGAUAGUGAUGAAUAUGUUUUAUCAAGAAGUAGGCACUCCUGUCUUCAUUAUGCAGAACUUAAAAUAAUUUUAUUUUCCCUGCUGCAGGCAAGAAUGGUCCUGGAGAGUGUUCAUCCUCCUUCAGUCCUCGGUCCUUUGGUUGUUCAGAAAACAUGGCAAUUAUGUUUCUACUUCUUGCAAAGCUAAGGGAAAUGGAGAAGUUACCUGCAUGGUUUUUUUCUGGCAAGAUUGGAGAGAGUGAUUUUGUGGGAGACUGAAAUAAGUGAAAUGAAGAAAAGCCUUAGAAAGCAUUACAAAGUUCCACCGGACUGCAUUUACACUGAGCACUCGGUUGUGGACAGUCAGACUUUAAUGAAGAUCUUACGCAGACUGUGGGAGAUGAGAAAAGGCUAGAAGCUGUGUGGUCUGUUACAGCGGGGCAGCAGGUACCAUCAUGGGUCGAUGGAGAUUAGGCAGGGACAAAAGGUGGAGACACUCUUCAGGCUGAAGCACAUCAAGAUGUCCGCCCAUGCAGGCAGACAUGGGGAGGGCCUCACAGGAAGCGUGUUCUUCUGCAACAUCCCAUUACCCAAGACAGAACAGCCUCUGAGAUCAAAUGUGCCUGAACUGAAUGACCAGUUUCCCCUAAGCCUUUCCGUGGUCCUCAGACGCACGCUGUUAGGUGCCAAGGCAGAUGACAAGGAAGAUGCCAGUGCCAAGGCACUGUCAGUUCUCCAGCGUUCACUGAUGUCCUUCAAGCAACCAAAUAUCGAGUGCAUGUUGAAAUUUUAUUUUAUAUAUUCUUUACAAUUCUUGGUCACAGAGGUAGUUCUGAAGGCCCUGCCUGAGGACUUGGCCACCGGGGCAGAGGAACACAAUGACAGAGUUCAGAACGUUGCUUCCUUCCUCCUGACAAUUUCUAAGCUGGCUGACAUGAGAAAAGAAUGCCAGCUGCCUCUCUCAGAGACUGAAUGUGUGGACUCUGUGGGUCUGCCACCUGAUGCCUGGGACAGAGCAGGACUGCAGUCUCCCUGCUUGCCUGCCCAACACAAGCGAUCAAGACCUGCUUGACAUCAGUGUGAGAGACCCUGAUGCUGCUGUUGAGCAGUGAAGAUGGAAACCAGAAACAAGGACUCCUCUGAAGCAGCUGGAGUAAGUGGCUGGUUCAACACCAAUGCCAAGGAAAAUAGUACCUGGGAUAAGCUGCUGUCACUAGGGUGGCUGUCAAAUACACACACACGCCUGUGUUUAUGUGUCUCACACAUCUCAGCUUGACAAGCACAAAGCUGGCUGCAUUCUGCUGUUUUGUGUCUUUGUGGUGGUGGUUUAGUCCCUUCAGUUGUGUCCAACUCUUUGUGACCCCUUGGACUGUAGCCCACCAGGCUUCUCUCUCCAUGGGAUUCUCCAGAGAAGAAUACUGGAGCGGGUUGCCAUUCCCUUCUCCAGGGCAUCUUCCUGAC
This is a long non-coding RNA of Capra hircus (goat), 1501 nucleotides long. The record is from Ensembl. NCBI's taxonomy places the organism in Eukaryota, Metazoa, Chordata, Mammalia, Artiodactyla, Bovidae.